Macaca mulatta (Rhesus monkey) is the source of this 1869-nucleotide non-coding RNA. The record is from RefSeq and is a predicted model, not a curated record. NCBI's taxonomy places the organism in Eukaryota, Metazoa, Chordata, Mammalia, Primates, Cercopithecidae.
UGGAGAACUUUUCUGUCUAGUUAAAGGAUUGUAAAUGCAUCAAUCAGCACUCUGUAAAAAUGUACGAAUCAGCGCUGUGUCUACCUAAAGGACUGUAAAUGCACCAAACACCACUCUGUAAAAUGCACCAAUCAGUGCUCUGCAAAAUGGACCAAUCAGUGCUCUGCAAAAUGGACCGAUCUGCAACGCAUGGGCGGGGAUAAAUAAUGGAAUAAACAACCUGCUCGGGUUCCCUUCCAGCUGUGGAAGCUUUGUUCAUUCCCUCUUCCUAAUAAAUCUUGCUGCUGCUGACUGUUUGGAUCUGCACCACCUUUAACAGCUGUAACACUCGCCACGAAACUCUGUGGCUUCAUUCUUGAAGUCAGAGACACCACGAACCCACCAGAAGGGAGAAACUCCAGACACAUCUGAAGGAACAAACUCUGUACACACCAUCGUUAAGAGCUGUAACAAUCACUGCGAAGGUCUGUGGCUUCAUUCUUGAAGUCAGCGAGACCAAGAACCCACCAGAAGCAACCAACUCUGGACACAGCAGGACGUCAGACUUCUACCUGCUCACUCAGAAUCAUUUCUGCGCCAACCAUGACCACCUUUGUGGAGCUCAGUACCAAAGCCAAGAUGCCCAUUGUGGGCCUGGGCACAUGGCAGUCUCCUCUCGGCAAAGUGAAAGAAGCGGUGAAGGUGGCCAUUGAUGCAGGGUAUCGCCACAUUGACUGUGCCUAUGUCUAUCAGAAUGAACAUGAGGUGGGGGAAGCCAUCCAAGAGAAGAUCCAAGAGCAGGCUGUGAAGCGGGAGGACCUGUUCAUCGUCAGCAAGUUGUGGCCCACGUUUUUUGAGAGACGGCUUGUGAGGAAAGCCUUUGAGAAGACCCUCAAGGACCUGAAGCUGAGCUAUCUGGACGUCUAUCUUAUUCACUGGCCACAGGGAUUCAAGUCUGGGGAUGACUUUUACCCCAAAGAUGAUAAAGGUAAUAUCAUCGGUGGAAAAGCAAUGUUCUUGGAUGCCUGGGAGGCCAUGGAGGAGCUGGUGGAUGAGGGGCUGGUGAAAGCCCUUGGCAUCUCCAAUUUCAACCACUUCCAGAUCGAGAGGCUCUUGAACAAACCUGGACGGAAAUAUAAACCAGUGACUAACCAGGUUGAGUGUCACCCGUACCUCACACAGGAGAAACUGAUCCAGUACUGCCACUCCAAGGGCAUCACCGUUACAGCCUACAGCCCCCUGGGCUCUCCGGAUAGACCUUGGUGAGGCUUCCAAGCAGCCAAGCCAGAGGACCCUUCCCUGCUGGAGGAGCCAAGAUAAGGAGAUUGCUGCAAGCACAAGAAAACCGCAGCCCAGGUUCUGAUCCAUUUCCAUAUCCAGAGGAAUGUGAUUGUGAUCCCCAAGUCUGUGACACCGGCAUGCAUUGUUGAGAACAUUCAGGUCUUUGACUUUAAAUUGAGUGAUGAGGAGAUGGCAACGAUACUCAGCUUCAACAGAAACUGGAGGGCCUGCAAGAUGUUGCAAUCCUCUCAUUUGGAGGACUACCCCUUCGAUGCAGAAUAUUGAGGUUGAAUCUCCUGGUGACAUUACACAGGGAAUUCUCUUUCUUCACUGAAGUGUGACUAUCUCCACUCACGUCCUAUUUUAGCCAAGCUUAUCUGAGAUCACAGUGAACUUCGUCCUGCUGUAGACCAGAAUCGAGGUGCUGUUUUAGACAUGUAUUUCUGUAUGUGCAACUAGGAUCAGAAUAUCACAGGAAAAUAUGGCUUGAAUAAGCAAAUGACAAUUUUUUCCACUUCUCUGAUCUGAACAAAUGUUUGUUAAGCACAAGAAACUCUGCCAACACUAAGGAUGUAAAGAUCAAUAAUAAACAAUAAUGAUGGUAACCAA